GGCUUAGCUGUCUCCUUUUUCUAGCCAAUGAAAUUGAUCUUUCCGUGCAGAAGCGGGAAUAAAAACAUAAGACGAGAAGACCCUAUGGAGCUUUAGACACUAAGACAGAUCACGUCAAACACCCCACUUUAAUGGACUGAACUAAGUGAACCCUGUCCUAAUGUCUUUGGUUGGGGCGACCCUGGGGAAAUAAAUAACCCCCAUGUGGAAUGGAAACACCACAUUUCCAGAACUAAGAGCUAACCGCUCUAAGGAGCAGAAUUUCUGACCAUUUUAGAUCCGGCAACGCCGAUCAGCGGACCGAGUUA
RNAcentral lists this ribosomal RNA (308 nucleotides) under Pseudolabrus guentheri. RNAcentral describes it as "partial 16S rRNA". Lineage: Eukaryota; Metazoa; Chordata; Actinopteri; Labriformes; Labridae. The record is from RNAcentral.